GGCGAGGUGACCGAGUGGUCUAAGGCGCUGGUUUUAGGCACCAGUCUCUUCGGAGGCGUGGGUUCGAAUCCAAGUCUCGUCA
This 82-nucleotide transfer RNA is filed under the name Toxocara canis (dog roundworm). It matches the Rfam family "tRNA". From Rfam's summary of the family: Transfer RNA (tRNA) molecules are approximately 80 nucleotides in length. Their secondary structure includes four short double-helical elements and three loops (D, anti-codon, and T loops). Further hydrogen bonds mediate the characteristic L-shaped molecular structure. tRNAs have two regions of fundamental functional importance: the anti-codon, which is responsible for specific mRNA codon recognition, and the 3' end, to which the tRNAs corresponding amino acid is attached (by aminoacyl-tRNA synthetases). tRNAs cope with the degeneracy of the genetic code in two manners: having more than one tRNA (with a specific anti-codon) for a particular amino acid; and 'wobble' base-pairing, i.e. permitting non-standard base-pairing at the 3rd anti-codon position. The record is from Rfam by way of RNAcentral. Lineage: Eukaryota; Metazoa; Nematoda; Chromadorea; Rhabditida; Toxocaridae.